This 61-nucleotide ribosomal RNA is filed under the name Psophocarpus tetragonolobus (winged bean). RNAcentral's name for it is "partial large subunit ribosomal RNA". The record is from RNAcentral. Lineage: Eukaryota; Viridiplantae; Streptophyta; Magnoliopsida; Fabales; Fabaceae.
GAGACCUCAGGUCAGGCGGGGCUACCCGCUGAGUUUAAGCAUAUCAAUAAAGCCGAGAAAA